Molecule: long non-coding RNA, 1886 nt
Organism: Malaclemys terrapin pileata
Lineage: Eukaryota; Metazoa; Chordata; Testudines; Emydidae
Exons: 3
Source: RefSeq, a predicted model, not a curated record
ACUGCUGCUGUGAUGCUGACAGACCAGUGCCAGCUCAUGCCAAGGCUCCGAGAUCUCACCUGAACACUGACCAAUAGACAGCCAGAACCCGCCCGACUCUCCUGCACUAGUGCUGCUAACACAGGGGCGACCCUAAAUCUUCAGUUAAUGACAGGACUGGCUACAAGCAUCUUUGGUGUGGGAUCGAAGACGGAUCCCGAGGCCUGAAAGGCCCUUGUGAGCAGCUAAUCUGACCACGUGUCCCACAGGCCAGAGAUCUGCCACACAAGGAUUCCUAGAGCAGAACUUAUAGAAAAACAGUGGAUCUGGACUGCUACAUUGGCAGUGAUGGAGCAUUCAUCAGAAUCCUUGGUUAGUUGUUCCAAUGGCUAAUGACUCUCACUGUUAAACAUUUACAUCUUACUGCCAGUCUGAAUGUGUCUGGCUUCAGCUUCCUGUCUCUGCUAAUCUGACUAGCCUGUUAUUAAAACUUUGUACCCCAUGUAGGGGCAUAGUCUGUAUCAAGUCACCCCUUCAUCUUGUCUUUAUUAAACUAAAGAGACUCCAGAAGCUCAAUCACUAUAAGGCAGGCUUUCUAAUCCUUCAAUCAUUCACAUGCCUCUUAGAAUCAUAGAAUAUCGGGGUUGGAAGGGACCUCAGGUGGUCACCUAGUCUAACCCCCUGCUCAAAGCAGGACCAAUCCCCAACUAUUUUUAUUUAUUAUUUAUUUUUUUGCCCCAGAUCCCUAAAUGGCCCCCUCAAGGAUUGAAUUCACAACCCUGGGUUUAGCAGGCCAAUGCUCAAAGCACUGAGCUAUCCCUCCCCCACUCUUCUCUGACUCCUUUUCCAAUUUAUCCUUCCAGAACUGUGGGCACCAGUGCCAAACAGAGGUAUAACGGCUGAUACAGCAGCCGUCGCACCAGUGCCAAACAGAGGUAUAAUAACCUCUCUGCUCCUACUUGAGAUUCCCCUGUUUGUGCUCCCAGGAUGGCAUUAGCCCUUCUGGCCACGGUAUUACACUGGGAGCUCAUGUCCAGCUGAUUGUCCACCACGACACCCAGGGUAGAGUCCCUCUGACCGGCAUCCUUUGUUCCUAGUGGUACAUUUACAUUUAGCCAUACUAAAAUGUACACUGCUUGCUUGUGCCCAGCAUCCCACGGGAGCCAGACCGCUCUGUGUCACUGACUUGUCCUCUUCAUUAUUCACCAGUCCCCUAAUCUGUGGGUCAUCUGAAAACUUUAUCAGUGUUGGUUUUGUUUUCUUCCAGGUCAUUGAGAAAAUUGUUAAAUAGUGUAGGGCCAAGACCCCAUCCCUGUGGGACCCCACUAGAAACAAACCUGCUUGAUAAUGAGAACCCCCGUCUACAAUUACCUUUUGGGACCUACCACUUAGCCAGUUUUUAAUCCAUUUAAUGUGGGACAGGUUCAUUUUAUAUCAUUCUAGUAUUUUAAUCAAAAUGUCAAGUGAUACCAAGCCAAACACCUUAGAGAACCCUAAGUAUAUCAGGUCAACACUAUUACCAUUAUCAGCCAAGCAUGUGUUGCGGAGUGUGGGGGAGUUAGGGCCCUGCACCCCUCUUCCCGAGAUUCACUACGACUCUCAACCAGCCAGUAAAGCAGAAGGUUUAUUUAAGGACAGGAACACAGUCUCAAGCAGAGCGUGUAGGUACGACCAGACCCCCUCAAUUAGGUCCCUCUGGGAGGUUCAGGGAGCUUAGACCCCAGCUUGGGGUUCCCUGCGUUGCACCACCCAGCCCAAACCGAAACUAAACUCCCAACUCCUCCCGCUGCUCCUCUCCUUUGUUCAGUCUCCCAGGCAGAAGGUGUUAAUUCUCCCCACCCCCGUUCCUGGCUCAGGUUACAACUCAGGUAGCUUCCUUCAAGGGAAGUCCCCCCUCCUCACUGCAA